This 335-nucleotide unclassified non-coding RNA is filed under the name Hevea brasiliensis (rubber tree). The record is from RNAcentral. Lineage: Eukaryota; Viridiplantae; Streptophyta; Magnoliopsida; Malpighiales; Euphorbiaceae.
GAGAAUUCCAAAGAAUGGAAGAAAUACAAUCCCAAUCAGAUCAUUAUAGGUCACCAUCUUCUUCAGUGAGUAGUCCAGCUAAUAGGGUGCCAUCAAGUAACUACUUCUACUCGAGGAAACCUGGCGCACUUAGACAACCAAUUUCAUUUGAAGAUUCACCUGUUUGGGAUGAGACGGAUAUAGAGGUCAAAGUGGACGAAGGAGGUGAUUCUAUUAAUGCUGCGACUACGCCACCCUCCCCUUCUCUGUCAAAGAUCAAUAGUGGUUCCUUGCCGUCUCCUUCUUCAAUAGAGAGGGAAGUUGUUACAAGGAAGAUUGCAGGAGCUUCUAUUGCA